RNAcentral lists this ribosomal RNA (253 nucleotides) under uncultured bacterium. RNAcentral describes it as "partial 16S ribosomal RNA". It matches the Rfam family "Bacterial small subunit ribosomal RNA", at positions 524 to 776 of the family's 1533-position model. The record is from RNAcentral.
UACGUAGGGUGCGAGCGUUGUCCGGAAUUAUUGGGCGUAAAGAGCUCGUAGGCGGUCUGUCGCGUCUGCUGUGAAAUCCCGAGGCUCAACCUCGGGCUUGCAGUGGGUACGGGCAGGCUAGAGUGCGGUAGGGGAGAAUGGAACUCCUGGUGUAGCGGUGGAAUGCGCAGAUAUCAGGAGGAACACCGAUGGCGAAGGCAGUUCUCUGGGCCGUAACUGACGCUGAGGAGCGAAAGCGUGGGGAGCGAACAGG